AGCGAACGUUAGCGGCGGGCCUAACACAUGCAAGUCGAACGAGAAAAUCCUUCGGGAUGAGUACAGUGGCGCACGGGUGAGGAACGCGUAGGUAAUCUACCCUCUGGCGGGGGACAACACUCCGAAAGGAAUGCUAAUACCGCAUAAGACCACACGUACCACGGUACGAGUGGUAAAAGGCGCCUCAAAGCGUCACCAGAGGAUGAGCCUGCGUCCCAUCAGCUAGUUGGUGAGGUAACGGCUUACCAAGGCGAAGACGGGUAGCUGGUCUGAGAGGAUGAUCAGCCACACUGGCACUGGAACACGGGCCAGACUCCUACGGGAGGCAGCAGUGAGGAAUAUUGGGCAAUGGGCGCAAGCCUGACCCAGCCACGCCGCGUGUGUGAUGAAGGCCUUCGGGUCGUAAAGCACUGUGGAGAGGGACGAAAACAUGCAGGAGGAAAUGCCUGCGUCUUGACGGUACCUCUUUAGCAAGCACCGGCUAACUCUGUGCCAGCCGCCGCCGUAACAC
RNAcentral lists this ribosomal RNA (511 nucleotides) under uncultured bacterium. Its description in RNAcentral is "bacterial SSU rRNA". It matches the Rfam family "Bacterial small subunit ribosomal RNA", at positions 29 to 526 of the family's 1533-position model. The record is from RNAcentral.